RNAcentral lists this ribosomal RNA (407 nucleotides) under bacterium enrichment culture clone ALO1_GLFRUDD03GLVA2. RNAcentral describes it as "bacterial SSU rRNA". It matches the Rfam family "Bacterial small subunit ribosomal RNA", at positions 9 to 416 of the family's 1533-position model. The record is from RNAcentral.
GAGUUUGAUCGUGGCUCAGAUUGAACGCUGGCGGCAUGCCUUACACAUGCAAGUCGAACGGCAGCACGGGAGCUUGCUCCUGGUGGCGAGUGGCGAACGGGUGAGUAAUGCAUCGGAACGUAUCCUGGAGUGGGGGGAUAACGUAGCGAAAGUUACGCUAAUACCGCAUAUUCUGUGAGCAGGAAAGCGGGGGACCUUCGGGCCUCGCGCUCUUGGAGCGGCUGAUGUCGGAUUAGCUAGUUGGUAAGGUAAAGGCUCACCAAGGCGACGAUCCGUAGCAGGUCUGAGAGGAUGAUCUGCCACACUGGAACUGAGACACGGUCCAGACUCCUACGGGAGGCAGCAGUGGGAAUUUUGGACAAUGGGGGCAACCCUGAUCCAGCCAUGCCGCGUGAGUGAAGAAGGCC